Molecule: ribosomal RNA, 309 nt
Filed under: Triticum aestivum (bread wheat)
Lineage: Eukaryota; Viridiplantae; Streptophyta; Magnoliopsida; Poales; Poaceae
Description: partial small subunit ribosomal RNA
Source: RNAcentral
AUGAGCGGCUUCGCGCAGCAGGCCGAGAGGGAGAAGCCGGGCAUGGCGGAGACGGUCAUGAGCGGGUUCAGGCCGGACGCCGUGCCCGUGUACCGCGAGCUCGCGCAGGAGUUCGCCGUGUGCGACCGCUGGUUCGCGUCCAACCCCGCGUCUACCCAGCCCAACCGCCUCUUCGUGCACUCGGCCACCUCACACGGCCUCGUCAGUAACAACACCAAGGCGCUCCUAGCAUUUUAUGGUGGUGCAAAUCAUGCAUGUGUUAAUUGUAUGUUAUGUCGGGGUCGCGUGCAUUGCAGCCACGCUGCCUGA